AACGAACGCUGGCGGCAUGCCUAACACAUGCAAGUCGAACGAGACCUUCGUGUCUAGUGGCGCACGGGUGCGUAACGCGUGGGAACCUGCCCUUAGGUUCGGAAUAACUCCCCUAAAGGGGUGCUAAUACCGGAUAAUGUCUUCGGAUCAAAGAUUUAUCGCCUUUGGAUGGGCCGGCGUUGGUUUAGCUAGUUGGUAGGGUAAAAGCCUAUCAAGGCGACGAUCCAUAGCUGGUCUGAGAGGAUGAUCAGCCACACUGGGACUGAGACACGGCCCAGACUCCUACGGGAGGCAGCAGCGGGGAAUAUUGGACAAUGGGCGAAAGCCUGAUCCAGCAAUGCCGCGUGAGUGAUGAAGGCCUUAGGGUUGUAAAGCUCUUUUACCCGGGAUGAUAAUGACAGUACCGGGAGAAUAAGCUCCGGCUAACUCCGUG
RNAcentral lists this ribosomal RNA (433 nucleotides) under uncultured bacterium. RNAcentral's name for it is "partial 16S ribosomal RNA". It matches the Rfam family "Bacterial small subunit ribosomal RNA", at positions 29 to 507 of the family's 1533-position model. The record is from RNAcentral.